GGGGGAUAGCCUGUCAGGUAGCCUUGUAGGGUGUACCUGUGUGGAUGAGGAGCCAGUGCCCACUAGAUUAUAGUGGCAUGGGGAGGCUAGUCCUGAGGAGGAUAGUCUGUCAGGUAGCCUUGUAGGGUGUACUUGUGUGGAUGAGGGCUCGGAAUUUAUUUGCUAGGGUUUGUGAUGGGAAAUGGUUGCAUUUCUAAGGAAAUAGCGCCCAUUUUAUUUAGGGGGGGGGUGACUGUAACACCCAUGACAUUUAGAGAAAAUGUCAUGUGUAUUUACACAUUUAUAAAAGUAAAAUAGAGCUAUAUUUUUUAUGUCGACUCUCGCGGUAACGGGAGUUUGACGAGAGUUUGACCGGUAUAAAUAACUUCCGGUCGAGCUGAGACUUCCUUUCUGUUGAGUGUCGAGGACGAGGGGGUCGAAGUGGAAGGUUGUCCUAAAUCAGGUUGGUUAAAAUAACCUUGUAUUUCAUUGAAAUAACCUUGUACAUGUAUUUCGUUUGCCAAGGCUUUGGUCUAAAGAAUGUUACAGUUUUUGUGGAGGUCGGAUUUAGUAUUUAGUAGGAUGUCUUACGAUUUUGUUUGAGGGGGAGGACUGCUCCCACCUUAGCGUUUGAGGCAAUGGCCGACGCUGAUUGAAUAAGGGGAUACUAGCUAGGGAAUAUGGUGGUUGAAUAUCUAGGACCCAUAUUGAGAUAGGAUGGAUGUAGUUUUGUGUGCCUUGAGUUUGAAAAUACGUAGGUGAUGGGUUUAGGUACAGAGAGGGUACCACGUGUCCUCCACGUGUAGCAAAAUCCCGUGUAAUGAAUAAUAUCAUGGAGAUUUCUGAUGUUAAACUUGUUCGAGGGAGAAAGGAGGUGUAUGCAAUGGAAUUUGCUGUAGUAAGAUUUGUGUAUAUGUUAGGAAAUGCCAUGAGGAAUAUAAUGUAUGCGAGGGAAUUUGCUGUAGAACGAUUCUUGCAUAUGUUUGGGCAAUGCCGUAAGGAAUAUAAUGCAUGUGAUGGAAUUUGCUGUAGUAAGAUUUUUGCAUAUGUUUAGGCAAUGCCAUGAGGAAUAUAAUGUAUGUGGGGGGAUUUGCUAUAGAAAGGUUUUUGCAUAUGUUUAGGAAAUGCCAUGUGGAGUAUAGUGUACGUGAUGGAAGUUGCUCUAGGGAGGUUUUGUGUAAUGGAACUUUCUUGUUUUGAUUUCAGGGCAACAAGUCCUUCUACUUCUUCUCUUUUCUUCUCUUCUCUCUUCUUUCUUCUCCUUCUUUUCCUUCUACUCCUUUUCUUUUUCUUUCCCUUUUUUUUUCACCUUCACUUCCACUUCCUCAGUUUUCUUCCCAAAUCUUCUUCGCCUGUUUCUUCAUGUCUUUAUAACUUCGCCAGCCGUCAUCCCAAUAAAGAAUUCAGCUGACGAA
Molecule: long non-coding RNA, 1394 nt
Organism: Pomacea canaliculata
Lineage: Eukaryota; Metazoa; Mollusca; Gastropoda; Architaenioglossa; Ampullariidae
Exons: 2
Source: RefSeq, a predicted model, not a curated record